AUUUUGGAGAGUUUGAUCCUGGCUCAGAGUGAACGCUGGCGGCGUGGAUUAGGCAUGCAAGUCGAGCGAUCUUUAAGUUGACUUUGUGUUGAACCGCAAGGGGAUAUGCAGAGUUGUCUUUUCGAUAGCGGCAAACGGGUGAGUAACACGUGAGUAAUCUGCCCUUAAAUCAAGCAUAGCUUCGUGAAAACGAAGGUAAUACUUGAUAACACCCCACCUUCGCAUGAAGGAGGGAUUAAAGACAGGGACCGCAAGGCCUGUCGUUUAGGGAUGAGCUCGCGUCCUAUCAGCUUGUUGGUGAGGUAACGGCCCACCAAGGCUUUUGCCGGGUAGCUGGUCUGAGAGGAUGGUCAGCCACACCGGGACUGAGACACUGCCCAGACUCCUACGGGAGGCUGCAGUCGAGAAUAUUUAGCAAUGGACGAAAGUCUGACUAUGCGACGCCGCGUGCAGGAUGAAGGUUUUCGGAUCGUAAACUGCUUUUGUUAGGAAAGAAUAUCUGCCGUUUAAUAGAUGGCGGACUGACGGUACCUAACGAAUAAGCCACGGCUAACUCCGUGCCAGCAGCCGCGGUAAUACGGGGGUGGCGAGCGUUGUCCGGAUUUACUAGGCGUAAAGGGCAGGUAGGCGGAUAGAUAAGUUAAUCGUUAAAGACCGGCGCUCACCGUCGGGAGAGCGGUUGAUACUGUUUAUCUGGAAGCGAGUGGGGGAAGACGGAAUUCCUGGUGUAGCGGUGGAAUGCGCAGAUAUCAGGAGGAACACCGAAGGCGAAGGCAGUCUUCUACGCUUGUCUUGACGCUAAACUGCGAAGGUGCGGGUAUCAAACAGGAUUAGAUACCCUGGUAGUCCGCACAGUAAACGAUAUUCACUAGGUGUUGGCGGGAUAGACCCGUCGGUGCCGUAGCUAACGCGAUAAGUGAAUCGCCUGGGGAGUACGAUCGCAAGGUUGAAACUCAAAGGAAUUGACGGGGGCCCGCA
RNAcentral lists this ribosomal RNA (978 nucleotides) under Candidatus Omnitrophota bacterium. RNAcentral describes it as "bacterial SSU rRNA". It matches the Rfam family "Bacterial small subunit ribosomal RNA", at positions 1 to 925 of the family's 1533-position model. The record is from RNAcentral. Lineage: Bacteria; Pseudomonadati; Candidatus Omnitrophota.